RNAcentral lists this ribosomal RNA (483 nucleotides) under uncultured bacterium. RNAcentral describes it as "bacterial SSU rRNA". It matches the Rfam family "Bacterial small subunit ribosomal RNA", at positions 30 to 507 of the family's 1533-position model. The record is from RNAcentral.
UUGAACGCUGGCGGCAUGCCUUGCACAUGCAAGUCGAACGGCAGCGCGGACUUCGGUCUGGCGGCGAGCGGCGAACGGGUGAGUAAUGUAUCGGAACGUACCAUUCAGUGGGGGAUAACGCAGCGAAAGUUGCGCUAAUACCGCACAUUCUGUGCGCAGGAAAGCAGGGGAUCGCAAGACCUUGCGCUGAUUGAGCGGCCGAUAUCAGAUUAGCUAGUUGGUGAGGUAAAGGCUCACCAAGGCGACGAUCUGUAGCGGGUCUGAGAGGAUGAUCCGCCACACUGGAACUGAGACACGGUCCAGACUCCUACGGGAGGCAGCAGUGGGGAAUUUUGGACAAUGGGCGCAAGCCUGAUCCAGCCAUGCCGCGUGAGUGAAGAAGGCCUUCGGGUUGUAAAGCUCUUUCGGCCGGGAAGAAAUCGUAUGGGUUAAUACCCUGUGCGGAUGACGGUACCGGCAUAAGAAGCACCGGCUAACUACGUG